GAAUCCCGUCUUUGGCACGGAAACCCCAGGGCUUUUGUGAUGCGCUCUCGAAGAGUCGAGUUGUUUGGGAAUGCAGCUCAAAAUGGGUGGUGAACUCCAUCUAAAGCUAAAUAUUGGCGAGAGACCGAUAGCGAACAAGUACCGUGAGGGAAAGAUGAAAAGCACUUUGGAAAGAGAGUGAAACAGUACGUGAAAUUGUUGAAAGGGAAACGCUUGAAGUCAGUCGCGUCGACCGAGACUCAGCCUUGCCCUUGGCUUGGUGUACUUCUCGGCUGACGGGUCAGCAUCAAUUUUGCCCCUUGGAUAAUGGCGAGGGAAAUGUGACACCUUUACGGUGUGUUAUAGUCUCUUGUCGCAUGCAAGGGUUGGGAUUGAGGAACUCAGCACGCACCUUUGGGUGUCGGGGCUUUGCCCACGAUACGUGCUUAGGAUGUUGGCGUAAUGGCUUUAAACGACCCGUCUUGAAACACGGACCAAGGAGUCUAACAUGCCUGCGAGUGUUCGGGUGGAAAACUCGUGCGCGCAAUGAAAGUGAAAGUUGGGACCUCUGUCGUGAAGGGCACCGACGCCCGGACCAGACCUUCUGUGACGGCUCUGCGGUAAAGCAUGUAUGUUAGGACCCGAAAGAUGGUGAACUAUGCCUGAAUAGGGUGAAGCCAGAGGAAACUCUGGUGGAGGCUCGUAGCGAUUCUGACGUGCAAAUCGAUCGUCAAAUUUGGGUAUAGGGGCGAAAGACUAAUCGAACCAUCUAGUAGCUGGUUCCUGCC
RNAcentral lists this ribosomal RNA (767 nucleotides) under uncultured Russula. Its description in RNAcentral is "partial 28S ribosomal RNA". It matches the Rfam family "Eukaryotic large subunit ribosomal RNA", at positions 216 to 962 of the family's 3401-position model. The record is from RNAcentral. Lineage: Eukaryota; Fungi; Basidiomycota; Agaricomycetes; Russulales; Russulaceae.